CCUACGGGAGGCAGCAGUGAGGAAUAUUGGUCAAUGGACGAGAGUCUGAACCAGCCAUGCAGCGUGAAGGAUGACUGCCCUAUGGGUUGUAAACUCCUUUUAUCUGGGCAUAAAUUGUUCUACGUGCGGGAUUUGGUAUGUCCCACAUGAAUCAGGCACGCCUAAUUCUGUGCCAGCUGCCGCGGUAAUACGGAGGUUCCGGGCGUUAUCCGGAUUUAUUGGGUUGAAUGGGAGCGUAGGUGGAUUUGUAAGCCAGUGGUGAAAGUUUGCGGCGCAACCGUAAAAUUGCAGUUGAGACUGGGAAUCUAGAGUACAGUAGAGGUGAGCGGAAUACGGGGUGUAGAGGUGAAAUGCUUAGAUAUCAGGAAGAACUCCGAUGGCGAAGGCAGUUAACUGGAC
RNAcentral lists this ribosomal RNA (399 nucleotides) under uncultured bacterium. RNAcentral's name for it is "partial 16S ribosomal RNA". It matches the Rfam family "Bacterial small subunit ribosomal RNA", at positions 338 to 734 of the family's 1533-position model. The record is from RNAcentral.